UGCAGUCGAGCGGGGGGAGGAGCUUCGGCUCCGAACCUAGCGGCGAACGGUCGAGUAACACGUAAGCAACCUGCCCCGAAGACCGGGAUAACAGCUCGAAAGGGCUGCUAAUACCGGAUGUGCCCACGCAGAGGCAUCUCUGUGUGAGUAAAACCCGCAAGGGGCUUCGGGAGGGGCUUGCGGCCCAUCAGCUAGUUGGUAGGGUAACGGCCUACCAAGGCGGCGACGGGUAGCUGGUCUGAGAGGACGGCCAGCCGGACUGGGACUGAGACACGGCCCAGACUCCUGCGGGAGGCAGCAGUCGGGAGUCUUGCACAAUGGGGGAAACCCUGAUGCAGCGACGCCGCGUGCGGGAUGAAGUCCUUCGGGACGUAAACCGCUUUUGUCCGGGAAGAAGUUCUGACGGUACCGGACGAAUAAGCCCCGGCUAACUACGUGCCAGCAGCCGCGGUAAAACGUAGGGGGCGAGCGUUGCCCGGAUUUACUGGGCGUAAAGCGCGCGUAGGCGGCUGCGUAAGUGGGGAGUUAAAGCCCUCGGCUCAACCGAGGAAAUGCUCCUCAAACUGCGCGGCUUGAGUGUAGGAGAGGGGAGUGGAAUUCCCGGUGUAGCGGUGAAAUGCGUUGAUAUCGGGAGGAACACCGGUGGCGAAGGCGGCUCCCUGGCCUACUACUGACGCUGAGGCGCGAAAGCGUGGGGAGCGAACGGGAUUAGAUACCCCGGUAGUCCACGCCGUAAACGAUGAGCGCUAGGUGUUGGUGGUCUCGACCCCACCAGUGCCGUAGCUAACGCAUUAAGCGCUCCGCCUGGGGAGUACGGCCGCAAGGUUGAAACUCAAAGGAAUUGACGGGGGCCCGCACAAGC
This 862-nucleotide ribosomal RNA is filed under the name uncultured bacterium. Its description in RNAcentral is "bacterial SSU rRNA". It matches the Rfam family "Bacterial small subunit ribosomal RNA", at positions 56 to 930 of the family's 1533-position model. The record is from RNAcentral.